This 315-nucleotide ribosomal RNA is filed under the name uncultured bacterium. Its description in RNAcentral is "bacterial SSU rRNA". It matches the Rfam family "Bacterial small subunit ribosomal RNA", at positions 28 to 334 of the family's 1533-position model. The record is from RNAcentral.
GACGAACGCUGGCGGCGUGCUUAACACAUGCAAGUCGAGCGGGGAUCAUGGAGGUGCUUGCACGGAAAUGAUUCUAGCGGCGGACGGGUGAGUAACGCGUGAGCAAUCUGUCCCAUACAGGGGGAUAACAACUGGAAACAGUUGCUAAUACCGCAUAAGACCACGAUGUCGCAUGGCAUUGAGGUAAAAGAUUUAUCGGUAUGGGGUGAGCUCGCGUCUGAUUAGCUAGUUGGUGAGGUAACGGCCCACCAAGGCGACGAUCGGUAGCCGACCUGAGAGGGUGAUCGGCCACAUUGGAACUGAGACACGGUCCAG